CCUACGGGUGGCAGCAGUGAGGAAUAUUGGUCAAUGGACGAGAGUCUGAACCAGCCAAGUAGCGUGAAGGAUGACUGCCCUACGGGUUGUAAACUUCUUUUAUAUGGGAAUAAAGUUCAGCACGUAUGCCGUUUUGUAUGUACUAUAUGAAUAAGGAUCGGCUAACUCCGUGCCAGCAGCCGCGGUAAUACGGAGGAUCCGAGCGUUAUCCGGAUUUAUUGGGUUUAAAGGGAGCGUAGGUGGGUGGUUAAGUCAGUUGUGAAAGUUUGCGGCUCAACCGUAAAAUUGCAGUUGAUACUGGCAGUCUUGAGUGCAGUCGAGGUAGGCGGAAUUCGUGGUGUAGCGGUGAAAUGCUUAGAUAUCACGAAGAACUCCGAUUGUGAAGGCAGCUUACUAGACUGUAACUGACGCUGAUGCUCGAAAGUGUGGGUAUCAAACAGGAUUAGAUACCCCUGUAGUC
RNAcentral lists this ribosomal RNA (460 nucleotides) under uncultured bacterium. RNAcentral describes it as "partial 16S ribosomal RNA". It matches the Rfam family "Bacterial small subunit ribosomal RNA", at positions 338 to 795 of the family's 1533-position model. The record is from RNAcentral.